GACGAACGCUGGCGGCGUGCCUAAUACAUGCAAGUAGAACGCUGAAGAGAGGAGCUUACUCUUCUUGGAUGAGUUGCGAACGGGUGAGUAACGCGUAGGUAACCUGCCUUGUAGCGGGGGAUAACUAUUGGAAACGAUAGCUAAUACCGCAUAACAAUGGAUGACACAUGUCAUUUAUUUGAAAGGGGCAAUUGCUCCACUACAAGAUGGACCUGCGUUGUAUUAGCUAGUAGGUGAGGUAAUGGCUCACCUAGGCGACGAUACAUAGCCGACCUGAGAGGGGGAUCGGCCACACUGGGACUGAGACACGGCCCAGACUCCUACGGGAGGCAGCAGUAGGGAAUCUUCGGCAAUGGGGGCAACCCUGACCGAGCAACGCCGCGUGAGUGAAGAAGGUUUUCGGAUCGUAAAGCUCUGUUGUAAGUCAAGAACGGGUGUGAGAGUGGAAAGUUCACAAUGUGACGGUAGCUUACCAGAAAGGGACGGCUAACUACGUG
RNAcentral lists this ribosomal RNA (497 nucleotides) under uncultured bacterium. RNAcentral describes it as "partial 16S ribosomal RNA". It matches the Rfam family "Bacterial small subunit ribosomal RNA", at positions 28 to 507 of the family's 1533-position model. The record is from RNAcentral.